UACUGGACAGUAGGGAUAGUACCGUCGACAGCGGAGAGAACUUGGGAACCUCUGAAAUUGCUAGGAGUUAGAGUCUCCUAUUUUUUGCGCUUAUUGGGUAUGCUGGCAAAUUAAGUUAGGUUUAGAGAUCUGGACAGGACAGUCUGGGACCGCCCUGGUGAAUUGAGCACAAAAAGUCUGGGACUGAUCGGUUGGAGCCGUUAUGUUCUAUUAUCGAAAUUACAUAGGAGUUGAAAAGGCCUAAAAAAAAUCUGUGCAGUUGUAAUUUAAGACGUCUGUAAUAUAAAAUAUGAGAUCUAUGAGUAGGAUCAGUCUCUGUGUUAGUGAUGCACAGCCGGAUGUGCACUGAUUGUGUGUGUAAAUGCAAAUGAGCAGCAGUGACGCGCAAAGAGGGUGGUUUCAGUUUUCGAGAGGACUGAGCUUUUUGCUAAAUGCCUGUAUAUAAGAGGUUGGUUUUGCUUAUUAUGAGAGUGUAAAUACAGUGUGAAUAUAUUAGUGUGGAUGCAUAGUAAAUGACUGAAUUUUGAUAGAUGUAUAGUUCGUGAGCCAUAAAUGUUGGUGUGUUCAUUUUCAGUUAUGUGUGUGGGGAGAAGCCGUGAGAACUUUUAAAGGUGUGUAUGGAAUAAAGGAGUGUGAAAUAUAUUUCUUGGGUGAUGAAAAGUAGGAUGUGCUAAAGUUUGAAAGUGUUUUUAAUUCAAGAAAACAAAAACAAAGGAGUUAGAUUAGUUUGAGGAACAGGAAAUAUUGCUCUGUGUAUCGGGGCUGCAGCAACAGGAAAUAGUGAACAGGAACUGUGCAUGCCCAUAUAUGGGAACUGAGUGUGUGCAGAAAGAACACAGAGAGACAGACGAGGAAAUGGGAGCAAAUGAAGCCUUUAAGAAAAAAAUGAAUAUAAUACUAAUUAUAUGGUCAAUACAGGUGGGCGUCUUUCAACUUUGCAACCUUGAGUUCAGCAGCAGAAAAGUAGAUUAAAAGAAUUGGGAGAAUAAGCCAGUUUUUGGCUCGAAAUUGGGCGGCUGGAUCUCUCACUUUGUCCCUGAAGCAGAGAAGAAGUUCAAAGGACAGUCAAUCGCCUGAUGAAGACCGAUAGAACAUUGUGGACUUGAAUACAGCAGGCAAACGGCAGUGCCACUGAUCCAUUAACCCUGAUGACGACUGACGACCAGCAGCAGCAUGUAAGAGUAAUGUAACAUGUACUGUGAAAAUACAGGCUGGGCAGUUGAACAGUGGGAUAAAGAAUUGUGGAAGAGCACUGGACAUUGAGUGAUAUUUUGCCAUGCUGGGACUUAAUCUGAAAGAAAGACUGUAAAGAAACAGAGAAGAAGACAACAGCUGAGUUGAGACUGUGUUUGCUGGAGCUUUGAAGCCCGAACAGGACAUUGUGCAGAGAGGACCAGUGAGAGAUGAAGCUGGACGAGUUUGACUGCGAGAAUAUAGGAUAUAAUUGGAUUGAAAAUUGAAACCUGAACUCAUGAAUUGUUUAGGGAUGUCCACCAUAGCAUAACAAAGAGGUAAACAUUAGAAAAGGUAGGAAUAAUGAACGAAAAUAAUUGUCAUUACCUUAAUGAAUAGAAAACACACAUACAAAUUGUUACAUGUGAGAUUAUUUUUGAAAUGAAUCAGAAGUGAGAUAGUUUGAAUCUAAAGCUCAGUGGUGAAAUGCAUAAAUUAAAUAUGAAUAUAUAGGAUGCAAUGAAGAAACAGCUUACACGUAGUGUACAUUAACAUGAAUACAUCGCAAGGCAACGAAGAACUCAAUGAGUUAAUUUAAUGAAGAAGCAGUUUACACCCAAUUAACAUAAAAUGCAGGGAAGAACACGCUUACAUGCAUGGCAUAAUUGGUGUUUCUGACCAGAGACAGAGAAAUGGGUUAUUUAAGCACUUGUGAUAAUAAUGGAAAUGUCUUAGUUUUGUUAUUUUCAGGGGUAAAGCAGACCUGGACCAGUUCUCCAGAUGCACCAGUCGGAAGGAAAUUGUAGAUAAGUUAAGGCAAGUUUCUGGUUGAAUUGUUCACAGAAUCAUGUGUCCAUGAACCUGGAAAACAGGCCCUAGCUCCUGGCUGAAGACUAGGAGUGCUUUAUUUAAGGUGGGAAAUCAAAAUGUGGGUUAGUAACUGGGGAAAAAGAAAACUGACUGCUUAACUGGAGAAUUGGGAAGGAGUUUGGGAGACUGUGAAGCCAUAGAUGCAAAAUAACACGUACACACACACAUAUAGAUUAGAGAAUGCAUUAAUCUUACAGAGACAAGCUCAUGAAGAUUAAUGAAUAGAUAUUAAAAACCUGGCUAAGAACACAAGCAUAUGCAAUGAAGAUCUGCUUGCUGCUUGUAUGAGUGAGAGAAUGGUGUGAAUGGUUAAUACAACUGAUGGAAAGAUUUAAAAUAGAUGGAAAAAACAAAAGAAGAGUGUUUAUAAGAGUGACUCAGCAGUGCUUUUGCACUGAGUGAUUAAAACAAGUGAUUAGUAUAGAAAGAAAAUGAAAAUAAUUCAAUAAUGUGAUAAAGUUUAAACAUGUAUUCCUCUUGUUAAGUUGGCUGUUGAGCUGUGGGUUUAUGCAAAUUAGCUGGAGUGAGUGAGUGACAAAGACACUUCCUGUGUGCGUGUGUGUCGGAGGCUUUCGGUUCAGUUCAAGAGAGAGCAGUGGCUGUUGAAGAGUAUUGGGAGAAAUAUAUAAUGGUAAAGUAUCAGGAUAUUUGAUUACGGUGGUCAGGUCUGUUCAGAGGGGCAGAUUUGGACAGGAAAUUUAUAAUUUAAGGAUGAUACGUUGUUGAAAUUGGUUUUUAUCUUGUGCUGAAUGAAAACGGUCUUUGAUCUUUUGACGAGGUUUUCGUGUGUUGAAUGGGUGAAAUUUAAGAUUGUUUCAGAUUUUUGAGGCUGUUGUUUUAUUUCCAGAGAGGGUGUUUAAUUAAGACAUGGAUCUGUCUGAGAGGGGCCCCAAAAAUUUUUUUUUGUAGUAGUGCACUCAGGAAAAACCUGUCAGGUGAUUUUGUUUGGUACUUUGAUGAGCUAAUAAUCAGCUCUCUUUUUUUCAUUUUUGUUCUAAGCAGGCCUGGAAGAGAGUGAACGGACGGCGCUGACAAAAUUACCAAGUACGAAAAUCAGGUGGGCUUUACAGAAUUAUAAUUGAUUACAAUCAGAGACUGAUUGGCGGCAAGUCUCUGUCUAAAAAUGGAUUGUAUCGAUUCAAUCCAGUCAAAAGUAUAGAGAACUAUUUUCCUAAACAGGAAAACGAAAUAAAACGAAUGAUUGAGCUCAUUUUGCUGAUGUGGAGCAUCUGAUGACGUGCGCAGGAGGCUGCAGAUCAGCAAAAAAAUAUCAUGUGUGAAUGCAUGUGAGUGAAUGUGAGUGACUGGACUAAGGUGGGAAUGAAUAAAUGUGGACAGAUUUAUCAUGUGAGGAAAAGAAAGAGGAUGCUUUGUUUUGCUUUUGCCAUAGGCAGGACAAGUGGGAGACUUAAGUCUGGGGAGGCUGAUUUUGGGAUGCUGAUGUUUGCUUUGAGAAAAUUUCUUUUUACGGGGGUUAGAUUAUGGGAUUACAUUAUAUUGUUGGGAGAAUGCUAAAUGCUAAAAGGGAAACAUUGUUUGAUGAGAUUCAAGUUACCAUUAACUGAGGUAACUCAGGAUUAAUAACUGUUCUGUUCAAGUUUAUUUUUGUUAUGACAUAGACGGGAUCAUAAAGGGAGAGUUGAGUAUGAAAUGUAAACUACAGGUUUUGUUUUCAGGAAAUUCCAAGGAUCCAGAGUUCAAUGGAGCAACGAGUUGGAGAAGAUUUGACAUGAUGAUUAAAUUGAUUUUGUUCUUUAAACACAGGUUUUCAGGGCUAAAGCAAAACACCGGAGAGGAGAAUUGCUGAGCUGUUCUGAGAAAUGAAAUGACUAACCUUUUUCCUUUUAAUUUGUUAAGCUUGGG
Oreochromis aureus is the source of this 3906-nucleotide long non-coding RNA. The record is from Ensembl. Lineage: Eukaryota; Metazoa; Chordata; Actinopteri; Cichliformes; Cichlidae.